AAUUAAUCUCAUAAAAAAUCCCAAAUCAAAAACCCUAAUUGAAAGGGGAUUUCGAUCGGAAGGAGCUUCCUUCAGCGGCGCCUCCUCCAACGCCGUCCGUCGGUCGCUGCUCUGCUCGGCGCCCUCCUCACACCGCCGGAUACUUGUUUCUCCUUCCCCAUCCUCCCCCUCUGUCCAUCGACAGUUCCUCGAAUCCUUCCCUCAAGUCCUCAAAUCCCUAGUUGAAACAAAAACAGCGCCUCCUCCUUUUCUCUCUCGAUUUGCCACCGUCAUCCAUUCCCGGCGCUCGCAACACCGCUACCGGAGCCCAGCAGGACUCCUCGUCGCUUCGCGAGGCUUCUGCCGUCGCUGCUGUUCGGUGAGGCUCAAGGUGUCGCCACCGCUGUUUCGCUACAUCCCUGACCUCACGGAUCUUCCUCGGAGUCAGCGACGAGCCGCCCCUUUCUCGGCGUUUCUCCGAAAUGAAACUAAGUUCUUUAACUUGUUCCUCAAUAGCCACUUAAUUUGGGCAGUAGCUACGGUUGGUUGUUAUCUGGUGAACUGAGUUCGAUUUGGAGGGAUUCUGCUCUAUGUUCUAGCUCCAUUUAUCAUUUAGCAUGCUAUAAACAAAGCUUAGCCAGUAGCUUUGUGAAAUUAUAAUUCUUGGAUUUGUUCACAGUGGUGGAGUUCCGUGUGGUUGCUACUGAUUUUGGCCUAUGAGGCAGACUAUGAUUUUUUUGCACUAACUUGUUAUGAUAUGAUUUACUGGUCUUAUUUGGGGUUUAGCAUACUAUUUGAGAAUUCUAAGUUGUCUUGCUUCUACAUGAUGAUAUGAAGGAUUGUUUGGAAGAAGGAAAAGAAGUGUAUUACCUCUUGAAAACAGCUUCUGAUCCUUGAGUUUUCUGCUCCGAGACUCCAAGUUCACCCACCUACCAUGGAGUUCCUACUUCCUAGUUGCAGUGAAAGGGAAAGGGGUGAGCUUGAGUUUUUAGCAUGAAGAGAAAUGUGGGAAGGGGAGUUGCCUGCAAGAACUCUGCUGAAACUCUACUCCAAGCUUUCUCACUCUCAACUUGCUAUUGUGGCUUAAAAUGAUUCAAAGUAUGUGGAGGGGAGUUUGGAGGUGGUGUGGGGGUUCUUAUAGAUGUACAAGGUGGAGAGGGAAGAAGUGCAGGUGCUGAUUUGAGGAGGAUGUUGCAGGCAUUGACUUGCCCCUUUGGGUAAGUCCUUGGUCUACUCAAGCAAAGGGAUGGGAAAACUGGGCAGUUGGGCAGGCCUUCCGAGACAUGGGCCUGCUACCUUUGGCCCGAUGGGUUGAUCAGAUAGGGCCGCGGUGGGGAUGUGGUUUGGGCUCAGGAGAAAGAGGCCCAAAGUAUAGCUAAAAGAAGCCUUUAGUUUCUUAACCUUCUAGGCUCAUUCUUGAACAUUUGUUUUUGUAAUAGUAUAGUAUUCCUUUUAAAUUGAUUGUAUUAUUCGAGAUGUAUACGAAAAUUUUAGUUCGGGAGAACAACUUUAUUUCCUUGUAUAAUGUUCACAUAUUUCAGAACAUUCA
Long non-coding RNA from Salvia splendens (bonfire salvia), 1528 nucleotides. RefSeq lists it as uncharacterized. The record is from RefSeq and is a predicted model, not a curated record. The transcript has 3 exons. Lineage: Eukaryota; Viridiplantae; Streptophyta; Magnoliopsida; Lamiales; Lamiaceae.